GUGUUAGAUCAGUUGGUUUGAGUGUGAUGUUGAUAAUGCCAAGGCUGUAGGUUCGAUCCCUGUAUGAGACA
Non-coding RNA from Podarcis lilfordi (Lilford's wall lizard), 71 nucleotides. The record is from the annotation of a GenBank genome assembly. Lineage: Eukaryota; Metazoa; Chordata; Lepidosauria; Squamata; Lacertidae.